UCCUUGACCUGAUGCUGUAGGG
This 22-nucleotide microRNA is filed under the name Homo sapiens (human). Its description in RNAcentral is "hsa-miR-10397-5p". The record is from miRBase by way of RNAcentral. Lineage: Eukaryota; Metazoa; Chordata; Mammalia; Primates; Hominidae.